GCCUCUUUAGCUUAGUGGUAGAGCGUUGCACUCGUAUAUCGACAUGCAAAGGUCACCGGUUCAACUCCGGUAGGAGGCA
Geotrichum bryndzae is the source of this 79-nucleotide non-coding RNA. The record is from the annotation of a GenBank genome assembly. Lineage: Eukaryota; Fungi; Ascomycota; Dipodascomycetes; Dipodascales; Dipodascaceae.